GCGCAGCAUCAAGAGUUGGAGUGCGACGCUCCGACGCCAACCUGCCGGCAACCGGGCAAGGUGGCGCCUUCCGCAAAAGGGGAAGGGAUGUGGCCGCAGCGGCAACCAAGCGGAGCCAA
This 119-nucleotide non-coding RNA is filed under the name Novosphingobium nitrogenifigens. Its description in RNAcentral is "SAM-I-IV sequence". It matches the Rfam family "SAM-I/IV (S-adenosyl methionine) riboswitch aptamer". Rfam says of the family: It is found upstream of a number of genes which code for proteins involved in methionine or cysteine biosynthesis. It has been found mostly in the order Actinomycetales. The record is from RNAcentral. Lineage: Bacteria; Pseudomonadati; Pseudomonadota; Alphaproteobacteria; Sphingomonadales; Sphingomonadaceae. RNAcentral also lists the same sequence under 1 other name.